RNAcentral lists this unclassified non-coding RNA (339 nucleotides) under soil metagenome. RNAcentral's name for it is "partial contains 5.8S ribosomal RNA, internal transcribed spacer 2, and large subunit ribosomal RNA". The stretch from base 1 to 120 matches the Rfam family "5.8S ribosomal RNA", at positions 35 to 154 of the family's 154-position model. The record is from RNAcentral.
GAUGAAGAACGUAGCGAAAUGCGAUAAGUAGUGUGAAUUGCAGAAUUCAGUGAAUCAUCGAAUCUUUGAACGCACAUUGCGCCCCUCGGUAUUCCGUGGGGCAUGCCUGUUCGAGCGUCAUUUAACCCCUCAAGCCUAGCUUGGUAUUGGGUGCUUGUCCCGCCUCUCGCGCGGCGACUCACCUCAAAGUCAUUGGCAGCCCGCAUCUCGCCGGCCGUGAGCGCAGCACAGACGCGCUCUUGGCAACGACGGAUCGGCUCUCCAAAAGCUUAUUUCAACCACUGACCUCGGAUCAGGUAGGGAUACCCGCUGAACUUAAGCAUAUUAAUAAGCGGAGGA